UCUUUGCUUAUUCAGAGUCGGUCUCCCCCUGAUGUGAAGGUAUUCAAAGGUCUUUGCCCUGAGCUUUCACGGAGUUGAGGGUGCGAUUGUUCUGUCAUUGAGGGCUUCUGGCCCAGCAGUCUCCUCAGAGCCUGCCCUGCCCACUCGCUGCAUUGUGCUAUCCUCCUGUUCCAGGACCAACCCGCCGAGCCUGCCCAGGACCGAGCCUGCCACCUAUUGGCCAAGAUCCAAGAAGUGAACUACUGCCUCGGUGAUCUGAUUUGCUCCUCUGGAAAGGUGCCAUUCUCUGCCCCUCGGGUCGAUGGCUUCAGAUCUCCCCUUGGAGCAGAAUCAUUCCAACAACAGCCAAUCAGCUCGCUGAAAGAACAGAACUACCUGUUGACCAAGGAGCUGUCAUCGAAGCGUGAACGAGUCACUACCUUAGAGCAGGAGAAAGCUUCUCUGGUCAAGCGGCUGAUGGAGGAUCGAGGAGCCCAUGCCCAACUGACCCCGAGGACAGGGACGUCACGUAGCCCCCCCACCCUGUUCUUUUCCACACUGGGGAAGUGAAGAGGAGCCAUGAAUCUCCCCUGCAGACAGGACCACCCGAGGGUAACUCUGACACCAGUCGGAGGACAGUGCUCCAACACUCCAGCAUCCCAGGAGGAACUGGCCAGGAGUUUGCUGUUUCCACUGCACACUCAGUUAGGAUAAUAGGUGAAAGACAGAGGCCCUUAAUCAAGGACUGAACCAUUGGGGUGAACCAAGUAACUUUGCUCUUUCAGAGAGAGAGCCAAUGGAUCAUUGACGUUAACUCACAACUUUGCCCUGCGCGACGCCCCAGCGUGUCAUACAAUAACCUUUCUGUCUAUUCAUGGCUGCGAUUAUUUAUUUCUCUAUUUAUAUAAAUUAUUGCCAAUGC
Molecule: non-coding RNA, 901 nt
Organism: Chiloscyllium plagiosum (whitespotted bambooshark)
Lineage: Eukaryota; Metazoa; Chordata; Chondrichthyes; Orectolobiformes; Hemiscylliidae
Source: RefSeq, a predicted model, not a curated record